ACGAACGCUGGCGGCGUGCUUAACACAUGCAAGUCGAACGGAAAGGCCCUGCUUUUGUGGGGUGCUCGAGUGGCGAACGGGUGAGUAACACGUGAGUAACCUGCCCUUGACUUUGGGAUAACUUCAGGAAACUGGGGCUAAUACCGGAUAGGAGCUCCUGCUGCAUGGUGGGGGUUGGAAAGUUUCGGCGGUUGGGGAUGGACUCGCGGCUUAUCAGCUUGUUGGUGGGGUAGUGGCUUACCAAGGCUUUGACGGGUAGCCGGCCUGAGAGGGUGACCGGCCACAUUGGGACUGAGAUACGGCCCAGACUCCUACGGGAGGCAACAGUGGGGAAUAUUGCACAAUGGGCGGAAGCCUGAUGCAGCAACGCCGCGUGCGGGAUGACGGCCUUCGGGUUGUAAACCGCUUUCGCCUGUGACAAAGCGUGAGUGACGGUAAUGGGCAAAGAAGCACCGGCUAACUACGU
RNAcentral lists this ribosomal RNA (466 nucleotides) under uncultured bacterium. RNAcentral describes it as "partial 16S ribosomal RNA". It matches the Rfam family "Bacterial small subunit ribosomal RNA", at positions 29 to 506 of the family's 1533-position model. The record is from RNAcentral.